This 117-nucleotide ribosomal RNA is filed under the name Esox lucius (northern pike). Lineage: Eukaryota; Metazoa; Chordata; Actinopteri; Esociformes; Esocidae. The record is from RNAcentral.
GCUUACGGCCACACCUCCCUGAGCACGCCCGAUCUCGUCUGAUCUCGGAAGAUAAGCAGGGUCGGGCCCGGUUAGUACUGGAUGGGAGACCGCCGGGAAUACCAGGUGCUGUAAGCC